Molecule: transfer RNA, 87 nt
Filed under: Patescibacteria group bacterium
Lineage: Bacteria
Description: tRNA-Leu
Rfam family: tRNA
About the family: Transfer RNA (tRNA) molecules are approximately 80 nucleotides in length. Their secondary structure includes four short double-helical elements and three loops (D, anti-codon, and T loops).
Source: RNAcentral
GCCCGGGUGAUGGAAUCGGCAUACAUGCGACACUUAAAAUGUCGUGGGAUUUAUCCCAUGUGGGUUCAACUCCCACUCCGGGCACCA